This 253-nucleotide ribosomal RNA is filed under the name uncultured bacterium. Its description in RNAcentral is "partial 16S ribosomal RNA". It matches the Rfam family "Bacterial small subunit ribosomal RNA", at positions 524 to 776 of the family's 1533-position model. The record is from RNAcentral.
AACGUAGGGGGCCAGCGUUGCUCGGAAUUACUGGGCGUAAAGGGUCCGUAGGCGGUCUGUCGCGUCGGAUGUGAAAAUCCAGGGCUCAACCCUGGACCUGCAUUCGAUACGGGCAGACUAGAGUUCGGUAGGGGAGACUGGAAUUCCUGGUGUAGCGGUGAAAUGCGCAGAUAUCAGGAGGAACACCGGUGGCGAAGGCGGGUCUCUGGGCCGAAACUGACGCUGAGGAGCGAAAGCGUGGGGAGCAAACAGG